This 468-nucleotide ribosomal RNA is filed under the name uncultured bacterium. RNAcentral's name for it is "partial 16S ribosomal RNA". It matches the Rfam family "Bacterial small subunit ribosomal RNA", at positions 28 to 507 of the family's 1533-position model. The record is from RNAcentral.
GACGAACGCUGGCGGCGUGCUUAACACAUGCCAGUCGAACGGAAAGGCCCUGCUUUUGUGGGGUGCUCGAGUGGCGAACGGGUGAGUAACACGUGAGUAACCUGCCCUUGACUUUGGGAUAACUUCAGGAAACUGGGGCUAAUACCGGAUAGGAGCUCCUGCUGCAUGGUGGGGGUUGGAAAGUUUCGGCGGUUGGGGAUGGACUCGCGGCUUAUCAGCUUGUUGGUGGGGUAGUGGCUUACCAAGGCUUUGACGGGUAGCCGGCCUGAGAGGGUGACCGGACACAUUGGGACUGAGAUACGGCCCAGACUCCUACGGGAGGCAGCAGUGGGGAAUAUUGCACAAUGGGCGGAAGCCUGAUGCAGCAACGCCGCGUGCGGGAUGACGGCCUUCGGGUUGUAAACCGCCUUCGCCUGUGACGAAGCGUGAGUGACGGUAAUGGGUAAAGAAGCACCGGCUAACUACGUG